Long non-coding RNA from Esox lucius (northern pike), 1682 nucleotides. The record is from Ensembl. NCBI's taxonomy places the organism in Eukaryota, Metazoa, Chordata, Actinopteri, Esociformes, Esocidae.
CCCCCACAGCAUAGCUACUGUAUAUUCCUAACGUUAACAAUCCGGUUUUUUUCACGUUUUCUUGCAGAUACCUUGACCAGAGCAUAACCGGUUAUCUUCACCCAAGAGACCUACUGUUGGUCAAUCGUUUUGGCUUUAAAGGUAAAUGCAUUGUUAGUCACAAUGUCUAGUUACUGGGCCAAAAGGAAAAUAAUAUUUUGAGAUGGACAAACAGGACAUUCACUUCACUACAUGCUAAUGAAGUUGGAUCGAUUCCAGAAAACCAGGAAAAUGUUGAGCCAUCUGUAGACUUCAGAGCUGUUGUUUGUUUAUGUAGAUUUCCAGAGACUCCAGAAUGAAAACCAAGCCCUGAAGGAAUGCAAUGCACAAGCAGCUUUGGAUGACAGCCGCUCACUUAAACAGCAGGUGAAGCAAGUAGGGACAAUGUUGAAGACGUUUGCUCUAACUGGGCAAUCAGGUGCGUUACCUGAAAGGAGCAUCUGACCGUGAAGGCAGAAAAAGCCGCACAGCUGAGAAAGACCCACAGCCGACCCCUUAAACCUAGGCUGACACCCCAGCAUCACUGAACUGGAACACUUUCUUUAUCCUGCAGUCAGUAACAUCAAGAAGCCAGAAGUGCCAGACUACACUCACCAAAUCCACCCUGUUCACUGUUUUUUUUAUUUUUAUUUUAACUUAUGCAUUGGCUUAUUUCAUUCCGUCAGUGCUUAACGAUUUGCUUAACGUUUGUAAAUCCUAUUUCAUACCUGUUACUUGAUAUUGCACGUUAACUAGUACCAAAAUUCUACUUUCAUUCCAUCAGUGUGCUUAACUGUUAUUCUAUUAAUAAUAGCGUGGAAAUACUAUUUCAUACCUCUGAUACUUGAUAUUGCACAUUACCUGGUACCAAAUAUUCUACUUACUCUGUUUUUAACAUCAGCAUUUUUCAUUCCGUCACAGUGCUUAACUGUUAUUCUAUUGUUAAAUAUAGCUUGUAAAUCCUUGCAGUUAUAAUGGUCUGUUCUACUACUGUUAAACACAACUUGAUAUAUAUCAAGUUUUGUUUAUCACAGAUACAAGAGACGCAGAUCUUAUUGCAGCACGGUGUAAAUCUUGUGCUCCAGGUCAGCAAUGGCAUUAUAAUGGUCUAUUCUACUCUAGAGCUUUACUUUAAAUUAUUACCACUUUUCCUAUUGUUAGAAAUUGCUUGAAAAUGUGAUGUUAUACCUCGAUUUAUUUGGUAUCCUGCACAUUCUUUGGUACCAAAUAUCCUCAUUACUUAUGUUUACUGGUAAUUAUUUUCAUCCCUGAGCUGACCUCUUUAUAUUAUUAACAAUUAUUGUGUUUGUGUUAUAAUUUUCCAAAACUCAAAAAUAAUCAGUCCGGAAGGAUUAGGAUAGAGCAACUGUCUGUGUCCACCACUUGUAAAACCAUUCCCUUUUUGGGGGUUGUCUUUCUGUAGCUUCUCCAGUGCACCUGUUGUCACUUUCAUUCACACCAAACGUGCAAUUGAUUCACAAUCGCUUAUGCUUCCUAACUGGCCAGAUUGAUUUCCCUGAAGUUUAAUUGAUUUGUUGUUAUACUGUGAUGAUUACGCGUUGCAGUGUAUUUCCUAUUGAAUAUAACAUUUAAAUGAUUUGCACAUCAUUGCAUUCUGUUUUUCUUUACAUUUUACACAGUUACUCAACUUUUCUAGAUACAUG